UAAUAAUUCUUACAACUUCUUGACCCACACUUUACUAACUAGAUUAUGUGUUACAAUAGCAUGAAUACAAGAUGUCUACAAUGUAAACGAGCUUAUAUGGGUACCACAAAUAAUAUUUUGUCAAUGGUGAAUGUUUCAAAUACAUUCCAUUUUAGCAUCAUUCAGUAGUAACAUCACUUCUGUCAAUCACAAUAUGCAGCACAGCAGAUUUUUUUUUCCUUUCAAUCACAAAAUACUGAUUUAACUUUUAUGUGGAAGAAUAGACAAGCAAGUAAAUGAUGCAAUGUUUAGAACAUAUAAUCUGUAAAGUAUUAUUUUAAAUGAUAAUGUCAGUUUUAAUCUAUCCAAAAAUCUAGCGCCAGCUUUUACAUGCUCCUAAUUUAAUUUGAGACCUCACUUACAUGAAAUGUUAUCUAUGCAACAGAGUUUGCAUAUAUGAGGAAAGUGACCACAAAAGUAGAUGUAUUCAGCUUUGGUGUCAUUGUGAUGGAGAUCAUUACAAAAAGAAGGCCAACAAGUCUUACCGGAGCAGAUGAAUUACCAAUGACUUUGCAUCAAAUUGUUCAGAAUGCCCUUGCGAAUGGCAUAAACAAGCUAGUUCAGAUUGUGGAUCCUAAUCUAGCUUCAUAUGUCUCCAAGAAACAGGAUGUACUAGAGGGACUUCUUAACUUGGCUUUGUCCUGCACCUCUGCUGAUCCUGAAGAUAGACCUGACAUGGAACAAGUUCUGUCUUCUCUUUCAAAGCUAAGUAAGAUGGACUGCAUGCCUUCACAUUUGGUAAAAGAUUAAAUUUGAUGUAGAAGAAGCUGGAAUAUCAUCACUCUUAAAGUGAACCACCACCAAGUUUCUCAUGGGGCUAAUGGAACUAGUUCAUAACUUAAAAUGUAUUUACUAUUUAAAUAAAUUUUCCGUAUUUCAAGCCAUAAAUGAUCUCUCGAGUAUUCCUGCUUUACUAGAGAGAUAUAAUGGAACUGUCCCGUCAGAUUAUUUUGAAGUUGACAUGCAUCAUGAAAAUGAACAAAAUAUUCAACAAUACUUCACAUUAAUUACAACUAAGGAGCAAAAAGCUAGAUCUUUACGAAGUUCUCUAGUGACAUGUAAUAGAGUUAGUGAGCAAGCAGUUGAUUGCAAACCAAAGUGCUAAUGUAGUCUGUCACUAAAGAUUAUCUACAGCAAAUGAGUACACUUACGAACACACAUAUAUAGAAGUGAAACUGAGGAAAACUCAAUAAGGGCUUUAAUAAGCCUACAAUCAUCCAUCAUAUUUUACCUUGAAAUAUGCAUUCUAGAAAUUUAUUUACUAGAGAGGGAACACGCAACCUCAUCUAUUGGUGGAUCAUUAUGCAAGAACUCGUCAAUGGUAGAGGGAAACUCAAAGCUUCCAACACCAUCAAAAACCUCUGAAUGAAUAAGAGAAGCUUUGCCUAAAAGCAGAUGAGCUAACCUAAAUGAUUCUCUUCUCUCUCCAUUACUCCUAUCCAGAAAAUGCUCAAUCCAACCUUCUAACCUCUCCACUUCUUUUUCACUUUUUGGCCCUUUAACCCCAACAAUGUUUCCAUAAAAUGCAUCAUCACAGCCCAAAUCCACUUCCACACUUUUGGUUCCUCCCCUUUUACUGUCCGAUAUACCCAAUAGCUGCAUCAACAGUUCAAUGUCAUCAACCCCAUCACCACCAGUUUCAACUGUACCAACUCUUUCUUGAACUUGUGUAGGGUUUAUCUGAGGUGGGGUUUCUUGGGCAAGUGGGGAAUUAGAGAGAAAUUGAAGUGGGGUUUCACUUUCUUUGAGGUUUGUGUAGCUGGUGAUGGAGUCAACAGGGGUCUCACUCUCAUCACAGUUAAGGUAUAAUGGGCUGAUCAUAGACUGGGUCGGUGUGUCGACGGCUUCUUGUUGUGUUGGUUCAUCAAGUUUCAAUCUUUUCUCCAAUUGUUUGAGAGAAGAGAAGAAAUUUGAGUGUGGAGAAGGUCUUUGCAUGUUUGGGAGGAAAUCAGAAUGAAUGAUUUGGGGGUUUAGGGUUUUAGCUGUGAGUAAAGAAGGGAUUAAGAAAAAAGAGCGCCAAUUGGUGAGAAAAAACAGUUGAAUAAACGGCUGAAUAGCUACAAUAUUGCUCUACGUCUCCGUGAGUUGUGGUGAAAUAGUUGAAUUCGAGCCCCCAAUGAAAUAAAUCUGUUUGCAAGCAUUGCCCCUGCUGUAUUAGCAGGCUCUAAUAUUAGAGUUGAUAAUUUCCUUAUUAUUUAUUUUAUAACUAGUAAAAUUAUUCGCGUUUUGUGCGGGAAUUUAAUAUCACAAAAUUUAUAAAAUAAUAUUUAAAACAUAUCAGUCAUUAAAAAAAAAUCACUAUAUUAUCUUAUAUACAAGAUUACGUAGUAACGAACAUUAAUAAUGUAAGGGAAAAUGAUAAUUAUAACAUUUUAUCAUUUAUCCUUCAAUCAAUCAUCCUUUUGCCUCCGGGAAGUGUUACUAUUUGAUAUUUUUGGAAAAUUAAAUGAACAUCAAUAUGAGAUAUUAAAUUUUAAUUGUGCAGAAGAAGAAGAAAUUCAAAAUUUCCGUUGUUUUAAAAUGAGAAAAAAUCCCUCUAUUCAUAGACAACAAAUGGUAGUGUGAACAAAUACUUAUUGUGCCUUAUCGAAAAUGUCACAACUCUUUGGAAAAGUUACAACCCUUCGGAAAGAUCACAACCUUUCAUAAAAAUAACAUUUUUUCAUAAAAGUCGCAACUCUUUAUAAAAGUCACAAUUUUUCACAGAAGACACAUUUUUUCAUGAAAGUGGAGGGCUAUUUUGAAAAUAAAUAAAUUUAAAAGGAAAUUCUAACUUGUGGUGGCGCCACGUAGGCGGACCUAUGGUUAUAUAUAUCGAAGGAAUUAGUUUUCUCAAAUUUAUUUUUGGAGGACAAUAAAGGAUUGAAUAACAUAUGUUGUGAUUUGUGAACAUGGAUAGUCCAAAUAGUGCUUAUGGUUAUGGACAAGUAGUCCAGCCAAACUGUUGGGCCUGUGGUACGAAACUAAAGGGACAAUUAAUCAAAAUGGCCAAUUGGUGAUAAUUCUCUCUUCUAGCAUCUUCAAAGCUCAAAUUUUAAAAUUAAUAUGCCGCAAACGUGGAUCACUUUGAAUAAAUAGUAUACCAAAAGACUCAAAACAUUGAGAUAAAUUCAUAUCUAAAAUUUGAGAUUGUUUAGAGGAAAUUUGAAAUGGUUGAGAUUGAGAAAAUAAUUGGUCUACAAUAUAUACUUCAUUGUCUCAACAAUGUAUAUAGAUGUAUAUAUCUCUCUCUAAUAUAUAGUUAUACAUCAUUCAUACAUGAGUAUACACUAUUUAUACAAUAUCGAUACAUUACAUAUACAUUUGUUGAUUUUUUGUUGUUGUCCGUACAUAUAUUGCUAAUUUUGGGUUAUUUUAUUAAUGUAAAUGAAAACUUGGCUACAUUUGAAACUACUUUUUAUUUUACCCAAAACUAAAAAUCUGAAAAAGAAAUUUUUUCGCAGGAACGGUUGGUUUAUUAGGUCUGCUCACACCUAUAUUGAUUCAUCACUCAAUUUGAUCUAAGUGAUCUUUGGACGAAAUGUAUCAUAAUUCUUUUAUUGAAUCAUUAUUUUUUAACCUUCUAAACUCGCCCUGUUCAUUUGAAGCUCCUUAUAAUUUUCUUCCAAUUUUAAAUUGCAUGAAGUUGUUUAUCUCGCUAUGCUUAUUUAAUUUCUUGGUAAAUAACAAAAUUAUCCUUAUGUUAUUGCGUUAUUCCAAGUUUUAGCCCUUAUGUUAUUCAUUUGAGCACAAUAAACCUUUGAUUAACAAAAACAUGUGAUAUUGGUUUUUUAAAUUAAUAGAAGUUAAAAAUUUAAAAGAAUUAAUAUUUGAAAAGUUUGAAAGAUCAAUAUCACAUAUUUUAAUUAAUUAAAAACUAAAUAUGCUCAGUGGUAUAACGCAAAGGACUAAAGUGGAUAUUCACCUUUAUUUUCUUGAUCAACUCAAGCUAAUGAUAUCUAUUAUCUAGUAGCAAUAUUGACUGAGAUUUGGCGACUUACAACAUGAGACUAUAAUUGGCGUGUUGACUACAAAACAAGUUAAUUAUGAUUAGUCAAGUUUAAUUAUUUUCAAAUAGAACCCACUUAUUUGCAUACUUUUUGCCACAUUCAUCUCUUAGAGGUCAGAUAAAAAUUGUGUGUACAUAAUCUAUUCAAACAUGUUGACAACUAAAAAAAUGAUAAAUUUGGGUGGCUGUUUGUCUCUCUUUGACCUAAUGUUCAAAGUAUACACGAGUGAAUGACAAAUGAUAAAAUAGAUUUAAACAUAUUACUUUAUUAGUUCAUAUAGAAGGUUUAGGUACACUGUUAAAUCAACGAUGAUUUCAUUUUGAACAAUAGUUUCAGGAAUAAGACUUUAUAUUAUUCAAUCUAUUAGGAACACAGGCGGAUCUAAGAAUUCUAUUAAAAAAAGAGAGGAAAAAAUACAUAUAUUAAGUGAUAAUUGAUCCUUGGGCGAUUAACUCAACAUUCAAUCAAGUGUACCAUUUAGCCUUAUUGGAGCAUGAGUGUGAUUAGAUAGUAUUAGAUCAAUUCUAGAAUAUAUGUACAUAAAACGACUAGUUUGAUGAAAAGAUCAUAGGUUCACGUGCACCAUAAAUAGGCUAUAAAUUCACCUCUGAUUGGGAAAUGACCACCGCUGAAUGUCAUCUUUCAGCUUGUCUAACUCUGCUGUUUCUCUAGAAAAGAAACAACUGAAAUGAACUUAUACAAUAUUUCUGCUCCAUAUGGCAGUUCUAGAAAAAAUAAUAGUAAUAAUAAAAACAGUUGACAUGAUGUAAUGUGAAUGCACUCAAUUUUCAAACAAUAUGAUCAGUUUUUGUAGGAAUUUCUGACAAAUUCAUAGAAUACAAGUCAUUGUACUUAGUUUUGAUGACUAGUUGACUUCUUCAACAGAAAACAGUAAGCAAAUAUCAUUAAUAAUUGUAUAAACUAUUCAUUUUCAGCUUAAGUUUGUAAAGAGAGUGAAGCUUCUUUCUUUUGAACCAAUGAUGUCAAAGACCACUGUAUAUGCAUUAGCCAUUUUUUUUAGUUCCUUUUUCAUAGCUUUGUCCUUUGGGGAAACUCCAAGCUUGGAAGUUGAAGUUGCUGCUUUGAAAGCUUUCAAGAACUCAAUCACUGAUGACCCUUUUGGUGCACUUGUGGAUUGGACUGAUGCAAAUCACAUUUGCAACUGGUCUGGAAUCAUAUGUGAUCCUUCUUCAAACCAUGUCAUCAACAUUUCGCUUAUUGGGAUGCAGCUCAAAGGCGAGAUUUCUCCGUUUCUAGGAGACCUCUCCAAACUCCAGGUUCUUGAUCUAACUUUGAAUUCAUUUACUGGAAAUAUCCCAGCCAAGCUGGGGCAUUGCACUGAGCUGGUUCAGCUCAUUCUUUACCGAAACUUUCUUUCUGGUGAAAUUCCUACCGAGCUAGGAAACCUCAAAAACCUGCAAUUAUUAAAUUUUGGAAAUAACUCUUUGAGUGGGAGAAUACCUGAGAGUAUAUGCAACUGCACUGAAUUGUUGUUAGUAAGCCUCAUCAACAACAGCCUCACAGGCAAAUUACCAUCUGAAAUUGGUAAUUUGGUCAAUCUUCAAUUGUUUGAAGCUUAUAGAAACAAUUUGGUUGGUUCUAUUCCUACCUCCAUUGGAAUGCUGACAGCUCUGCAAACCCUUGAUCUGAGCUCAAACCAGUUUUCUGGACCUAUACCACCAGAAAUUGGCAACUUGUCAAGUUUAGAAACUCUUCAGUUGCAUCACAACUUUCUUUCUGGGAAAAUCCCAUCUGAACUUGGCCUCUGUAUCAAUCUUGUUACCUUGGACAUGUAUAAUAACCAAUUCACUGGAGGCGUACCUCCUGAGCUAGGAAAUUUAGAAAAUUUGCACAGGCUCAGAUUGUAUAACAAUAAGUUGAACUCCAGUAUACCUGCCUCAUUGUUCCACCUGAAGUCAUUAACUCAUUUAGGACUCUCACAUAAUGAGCAAACUGGUAAAAUUCCUCCUGAGUUUGGAUCUUUAAUGUCACUACAAGUGCUUACCCUCCACUCAAAUAGGUUGUAUGGGGAGAUUCCAUCAACUUUGACAAACCUGGCAAACUUGACAUAUUUGUCUUUGAGCUUUAAUUUAUUGACAGGAUCACUUCCACCGGAACUUGGGUUACUCUAUAAUCUGAAGAAUCUAACUGCAAGUAAUAACCUCCUAGAGGGACCUAUUCCAUCUAGCAUAACAAAUUGUUCUCAUCUUCGUGUUUUAACCCUCACCUUUAAUAGAAUAACAGGUAAAAUACCAAAUGGGUUGGGGAAGUUGUCCAAUCUUACAUUUUUGUCUUUGGGAUCAAACAAAAUGUUGGGGGAGAUUCCUGAUGAUAUCUUCAACUGUUCAAUGCUUGAAGUUCUAGAUCUGAGUGGUAAUAAUUUUAGCGGGAAGCUCAAACCGAUGAUUGGCAGACUCUCUAAACUUCGAGUUCUAAGAGCUCAUAGUAAUUCAUUUCUUGGGCCAAUCCCACCAGAGAUUGGUAAACUGAGUCAACUGAUAGAUUUAGUGCUUCACAAAAACAGUUUCUCAGGUGUGAUACCACCAGAACUUUCAAAGCUUUCAAACCUCCAGGGCCUUUCUCUGUCAGACAAUAAGCUGGAAGGUGAACUUCCUGUGCAACUUUUUGAGCUUACACGCCUCUAUGAACUCCUGCUGCAGAACAAUAAUUUCUUCGGUCCAAUCCCCAAUCAGAUAUCCAAAUUAGAAUCACUUUCACUCCUGGACCUGAGUGGAAAUAAGCUUAACGGUACAAUCCCAGAGAGCAUGGUGAGCCUCCGCAGACUGACGACCUUAGAUGUUUCACACAACCUUCUAACCGGAACUCUUUCCAGAGCAGUACUUGCCAGCAUGAGAAGUAUGCAAUUUUACUUGAACGUUUCCAGCAACUUGUUGGAUGGAGAGAUCCCAUAUGAGAUUGGCAUGUUAGAAAUGGUUCAAGGGAUUGAUAUGUCAAACAACAAUCUAUCAGGCAACAUUCCCAGAUCCCUAGGACUCUGCAAAAACUUAUUCUCACUAGACCUAUCAGGAAACAUGCUGUCUGGUCCUGCUCCAGGCGAAACUCUGACCAAAUUAAGUGAGCUACUAUUCUUGAACCUCUCAAGGAACAGAUUAGAAGGCAAACUUCCUGACAUGGAAGGAUUGCCACAUCUUCGCUCACUUGAUCUUUCACAAAACAAGUUCAAGGGAAUCAUUCCUGAGAGAUUUGCCAAUAUGCCUGCAUUAAUAUAUCUCAACCUUUCUUUUAACCAGCUUGAAGGUCACAUUCCAAAGGGGGGUGUAUUCGACAACUUAAGGUCAGCAGAUUUACAGGGAAAUCCAUCUCUAUGUGGAACAGAGUUUCUCAGUCCAUGCAGCAUCAAAAGAAACCAAACAAGUUCUCAUGGGUUUUCCAAGAAAACCUGGAUCAUACUUGGGCCUGUUUUGGUUCUCAUUCUUUAUGUGGUGGGAAUAUUUUUGUAUCAUCUGUAUAUGAAGAAGCAAAAAGUGAAAGACACGGAAGAUAUAAUUCCAAAUUAUACCUCAGCACUUAGCCUCCAGAGAUUUUAUCAAAAGGAUUUGGAACAUGCUACUGAUAAUUUCAGUCCACAAAACAUUAUUGGAGCCAGCAGUUUAAGUAAUGUGUACAAAGGAACACUGGAAAGUGGGAAGAUUGUAGCAGUUAAGAAACUGAAUCUCCAGUUCUCAGCAGAAAUUCGUAAAUGCUUUGAUAGGGAGGUCAAGACUCUGAGCCAACUCAAACACAGGAACCUGGUUAAGGUGCUCGGUUAUGCUUGGGAAAGCAAGAAGCUAAUGGCUGUAAUUUUAGAAUACAUGGAGAAUGGGAACUUGGACAGUUUUAUUUAUGGUCAAAUGGCGGAUGAAUGGACAUUGUCCAAUAGGAUAGACAUUUUAGUUUCAGUAGCAAGUGGGCUGUCAUACCUGCAUUCAGGAUAUGAUUUUCCAAUAGUGCACUGUGACUUGAAGCCUUCAAAUAUUCUUCUGGAUAAAAAUAUGGAAGCACAUGUGAGUGACUUUGGGACAGCUAGGAUGUUGGGUAUUCAUCACCAAGAUGGGAGCAGCAUAUCAUCAGCAUCUGCAUUUGAAGGAACUAUUGGUUACAUGGCACCAGGUAAUAAUUAUUACAACAUCACUUCUGUAAAUCACAAUACACAGCUUAGCAGAUUUUCUUUUCCCGUCAAUCACAAAAUAAUGAUUAAUUUGUAUGUGGAAGAAUGGACAAGCAUUUAAGUGAUCCAAUGUUUUGAACAUAUAAUCUGAAAAGUAUUUUUUAAUGAUAAUACCAACUUUAGUCUAACCAGAAAAUGCUAGUGUCAGCUUUAGAAUUUUGAAUUUCUUGAACAUUUUACAUGCUCCUUAUUUAAUUUGAGACCUAACUCAAAUGAAAUGUUUUUCUAUGAAACAGAGUUUGCAUAUAUGAGGAAAGUGACCACAAAAGUAGAUGUAUUCAGCUUUGGUGUAAUUGUGAUGGAGAUCAUUACAAAAAGAAGGCCAACAAGUCUAACAGGUGCAGAUAAAUUACCAAUGACUUUGAAUCAAGUUGUUCAGAAUGCCCUUGCGAAUGGCAUAAGCAAGCUGGUCCAGAUUGUGGAUCCUAAUUUAGCUUCACAUGUCUCCAAGAACCAGGAGAUAGUAGAGGGACUUCUUAACUUGGCUUUAUCCUGCACCUCUCCGGAUCCUGAAGAUAGACCUGACAUGGAACAAGUUCUGUCUUCUCUUUCAAAGCUAAGUAAGAUGGAGAGCAUGCAUUCACACGCUUGUUUGGUAUCAUCAUUCUUAAUAUGAACCACCACCAAGUUUCCCUCGGUGGCCAAUGGAACUAGUCCACAACUGAAAAUGUAAUUACAAUUUAAAUAGAACUUACGUUUUUCAAGCCAUAAUUAUCUUUCAGGUAUUCCUGCUUUACUAGAGGGGUAUGGUUGAACUCUCACAUUAGAUUAAGUUAAAGUUGACUUGCAUCAUGAAAUUGAAGAACUCUGUACAUUAAUUACAACUAAGGAACAAAAAGCUAGAUCUUUACGAAGUACUCCAGUGACGUGUAAUAGUCAGCGAGCAGUUGAUUGCUAGACUAAAGUGCCAAUGCAUUCUGUUACUAGAGAUUGCCUACAGGAAAUGAGUACACUUUUGAACACGAAUAUAUAGAAGUGAAAUUGAGGAGAACUCAAAAAGAGGCCUUAAUAAGACUACAAUGAUACAUCAUAUUUUACCUUAAAAUAUGCAUUUUAGAAAUUUAUUUACUAUGCAAGAACUCAUCAAUGUAAGAGGGAAACUCAAAGCUUCCAAAACCAUCAAAAAUCUCCUAAGGAAUAAGAGCAGCUUUGCCUAAAGGCAGAUGAGCUAACCUAAAUGAUUCUCUUCGCUCUCCAGUACCCUUAUCCAGAAAAUGCUCAAUCCAACCUUCUAAUCUCUCCACUUCUUCUUCACUUUUUGCCCCCUUAACCCCAACAAUCUUUCCAUAAAAUGCAUCAUCACAGCCCAAAUCCACUUCCACCCUUUUGGAUCCUUCCCUUUUACCCUCCGAUAAACACAAUAGCUGCAUCAUCAGUUUACCCUCAUCAACCCCAUUACCACUAGCUUCAACUAUACCAACACUUUCUUGGGCAAGUGAGGAAUUAGAGAGAAAUUGAAGUGGGGUUUCACUUUCUUUAAGGUUUGUGUAUCUGGUGAUGGAGUCAGCAGGGGUCUCAUCACAGUUGAGGUAUAAUGGGCUGAUCAAAGACUGGUCGGUGUCUCAACGGCUUCUCGUUGAGAUGGGUCGUCAAGUUUCAAUCUUUUCUCCAAUUGUUUGAGAGAUGAGAAGAAAUUGGAAUGUGGAGAAGGUCUUUGCAUUAUUUUUUUAGUGAAUCAGAACUUGAAUUGAGUUUUUAGUUAUGGAAGGUUGAAGAAUGGAAAGGAAAAAAGAGCGCCAACUGCUGCAAAGGACAAUUUAAUCACUUUUGUUUGAAAUUUUACGCCGAUUUGGGAUUUCUGGGUAUGUUAUUUAAGGUAUUUUCUGAAUUAAUCCAUAUUCUCAAUGUUUAAAGAGCUUUGAUAUCCAGGGUCAGAUCCAGAGGUUCUGGUACGGGUUUACGAGAACCAAAUAACUUUUGCUUAUAUUCUGUAUGUGUUAAAAAUCUGAUUGUGAAUAGAAUUAUCAUUGAUUUAAAAGGUUCUAGGAUGACCUUUCAAUACAAGUGACUUUCCUUGUGCAUGUUUAUAGCUUGGAUCAUAUAGUUGCUAAUAAGAGUAUCCGAAAAAUGGAACAGGGAGAGAACAUAGCUACUGAAGUUUUGUGGAAAGUGUAUUCAUUUGUUUGCGUGAAACCAUGCAGUACAAAUGCUGAUAAGAGUAAAAAUAUAUUCAGAAAGGAGAAAAAGGAAUGUGUAAUAUAGCCACAUAGGUAUAACAUUGAGGAUAUAGACAAAUGAUUUCUCACAUGAUCACUCAACUAAUAUGUUAGCCAUUAUCUCAUAAAGUCACCUUAUUCUUGAUUCUAAUUUGUUUUUAACAAGAGUGACUUCUGAGAUAAUAACUAUCAGUUGAGUGACACUUUGAAGGAAACCAAAUUGCAGUAGAAUUAUCUGUUGUUCAACUGGUGGAUCACAAUUUGAUAGCAUUAGCAUUUCCUGCUCAUUUGGCAAAUUAAAGUCCAAUACCAAUAACCACGACUCUGUUUCAUUUAGAUACAUUAUGCUUUGAAAAAUCUAGUCCGAAUUUAGAUUUUUCCCAAUCAGGAGUUGGCAUGUAUGGUGGUGGAUUUUUGAAACAUUUACUUGGCCAGAAUAUGUUGUAUAAAGCACUGUUAUGUUCACAUGUGUCUGUUUGCCUAGGCGUAGGACCACUUGUAUGAGUGGUUGAGAAUAUGCCUGCUACUAGAAAAAUAGAAAUUAGUAAUGGACAAAUUUCGUAGUUAAACGACAAGUGAGCAAUUUAACGAUGAAGUUCAUAACCAGUAGAAGUUUUUUUUUUUAUAGAACGAUGAAAAUGAACUAACAUAACGGUUCAUUUUUCCCCUUAUUCCUUUCUAUUUUACACAGAGAAGGGAUUCGGGCUGUAAUUACUUCAAAAUGCCUGUAAUAGUGGUGUUGUCUUUUACCCUGCUGGAAGAAAAAUAUAUAAAGAAUGUCCUAAUGGAAAAAAGUAGAAGAUACUUUAAUGUAAGCUCAACAACAAAGACAGAGAGAAAUCUUUGUAGCCACAGAACAUUGGUUGGUCCCCCAAGUAAAAAUCUUGGAAGAUUUUUGGAUUUGUGAUUGCCAAGUGUGAAUGGAGAGUAAUCUUGACAUCCAAUGAGAUCAUAGAUAUAGAUAUCACUAGAUAAGGACUCUUCCCUAUCUUACUUACUAUAUAUAGUGAAGUUUCAAUAACUUCAGCUCAUCACAACUAACUUUUACAUAUCAAACUAGCAACCCCCUCACUUUCCUCUCUUUAUAAACCAUGGCAGCUGCUACAAUGGCUCUUUCUUCCCCUUCUUUUGCUGGACAGGCAGUGAAACUCUCACCCUCUGCCUCAGAAAUCACUGGAAAUGGAAGGAUCACUAUGAGAAAGGCUGUCGCCAAGUCUGCCCCAUCUAGCAGCCCAUGGUAUGGCCCUGACCGUGUUAAGUACUUGGGCCCAUUCUCUGGUGAGUCCCCAAGCUACUUGACCGGUGAAUUCCCUGGUGACUACGGACCGUGUUAAGUACUUGGGCCCAUUCUCUGGUGAGUCCCCAAGCUACUUGACUGGCGAAUUCCCUGGUGACUAUGGAUGGGAUACCGCUGGACUUUCAGCAGACCCUGAGACCUUUGCCAAGAACCGUGAACUUGAGGUGAUCCACUGCAGAUGGGCUAUGCUUGGUGCUCUUGGAUGUGUCUUCCCUGAGCUAUUGGCCCGUAAUGGUGUCAAGUUCGGUGAGGCUGUGUGGUUCAAGGCCGGAUCCCAGAUCUUCAGCGAGGGUGGACUUGACUACUUGGGCAACCCAAGCUUGGUCCAUGCACAGAGCAUCUUGGCCAUCUGGGCUUGCCAAGUUGUCUUGAUGGGAGCCGUUGAAGGUUACCGUAUUGCUGGUGGACCUCUUGGUGAGGUUGUCGACCCACUCUACCCUGGUGGCAGCUUUGACCCAUUAGGCCUUGCUGAAGACCCAGAGGCAUUUGCUGAGCUCAAAGUAAAGGAGAUUAAGAACGGCAGACUUGCUAUGUUCUCUAUGUUUGGAUUCUUCGUUCAGGCCAUUGUUACCGGAAAGGGUCCAUUGGAGAACCUUGCUGACCACCUUGCAGACCCCGUUAACAACAACGCUUGGGCUUUCGCCACAAACUUUGUCCCCGGAAAAUGAAUAUCAUAAUAUAAUUUUUUAAUUUUGAUUGUUCGAUGGCCCUGUAAAGUAGUUGUGACUUACUUGAUAAUAGAAUGGUUCUUUUUUCCAUAUUCCAGUGAUUGUGUAGUUCUGAGUUACAUUUUCCAAAUCUACGAAUCAAAUAUUGCCACUUCCAUACCAAAGGGGAAAUUAAAGAAAGAGAACAGAGCAAAAAGACUGAAGAUACAUAUGAGAUGUGGUAACAAGAAAAACUAUAAAGCUGUUGUAAGCUUAAAACUUGAAUUUUCAGACCAGAGGAACUUAUGGAAUUCAGUUAAUUCUCGAGAAACAAUACUCAAAAUUAGUGUAAAGUACUAAUGUUGAACAACAUGAUGUUAUUACAUGAUUCCUCAUUUAUCUAUCGAAAAGUGAGAGGAAAUAAGAGGACAUUGUUUCAUUUCACUACCAGAACAUUGAGACAGGGGAAGAAAACCAAUAUGUUUUGUAGUCUGAAUGUAGUAAGUAAUAUAUGAGUUUCCAGGUCCAUACAGUAUGUCUCCUUUGAACAAAUUCAUAAAUUUCUUGUAAAAUCCUCCUGCCUCACAUGAGGUACUAUCUUUAGAUUAAAAGCAUCCUUGACAGAUCCUUCAAAACAAGGUACAUAGUAAUGACCAGAGCACAAAGGACAUACAUAUGUAGUUAGAAGAAGACACAAGUACUGCUAAAUAUGACACUUAUUGGCAACAAAUUCAAGUUCCAUGCACUAAUAACGUAAACAAUAUUUACACAAAUUACUUAGUAAGUAAUUAAAGGUAAAUCACUUGAUAACAUUAAUCGGUAGUCUGGUAAAAAAUGGGAAUUGCCUACUAUCACACGUUAAAAUUUACUGAUGUAACUUCUAUUUCCCUUAACGCAGCGCAAAAUUGUGAUGCUGAUGAAUUCCAACAAAUUAAAAUCUUUGCUCAUAUUCUUCUGAACAAGCUCUUUCCAAGGCUCAGCAUUGCUCAUGUAGUAGUUAAGUAACACGUACUAAGCCGCAUUAAAUCUCUAAACCUAACAGUAUUGUGAAUGAGCAUAAAACAAUAUAACCUGUGUGGCUAACAUAAACAACUUUGGUAAUUAAGGUCUAAUAUAAUAAAGUUUCAAUCACAUUGCUUUCCAAACAUAAAGAUGCAUUAUUAAGUUCCCAAAAUUUAUGAAUCAAGUAGUAAUAAAUUUCAACUUUUCCUCAAAUUUCCUAAACCAUAGUUCUACAUUGAAUGAAGUAUAGUGGUGGUAUGUUUUACCCUGCAGGUAGAUAAAAUCUAGAGAAAUGCCAAGUGGAUAAUGAUAGGGAUAUCAUAUUGUAAGCUCAACAAAUCACAGGGCAGAUUCCAAUCCUUGUGGCAACAUAUGAGAGGACAAUAUUGGUUGUGUCCCUUGCUGGAAAAUUGAUGGAUUGGAGAUUGCUAAAUGUGCAUAAUUGCUACAAGUAGGAUCUUGAUAGCCAAUGAGAUCAUAGAUAUAGAUUUCACUAGAUAAGGACUCUUUCCCUCUUUCUUAAUUCCUAUAUAUGGUGAAUUAAUUCCCUUGUAACUUCAUCUCAUCACAGCCUUCAACAAUAUUUCAUACCAUCAAACACUCAACACUUUUCUCUUAAUCUAAAUCAUGGCAGCUGCUACAAUGGCUCUUUCUUCCCCUUCUUUUGCUGGACAGGCAGUGAAACUUUCACCAUCUGCCUCAGAAAUUUCUGGAAAUGGAAGGAUCACUAUGAGAAAGGCUGUCGCCAAGUCUGCCCCAUCUAGCAGCCCAUGGUAUGGCCCUGACCGUGUUAAGUACUUGGGCCCAUUCUCUGGUGAGUCCCCAAGCUACUUGACUGGCGAAUUCCCUGGUGACUAUGGAUGGGAUACCGCUGGACUUUCAGCAGACCCUGAGACCUUUGCCAAGAACCGUGAACUUGAGGUGAUCCACUGCAGAUGGGCAAUGCUUGGUGCUCUUGGAUGUGUCUUCCCUGAGCUCUUGGCCCGUAACGGUGUCAAGUUCGGCGAGGCUGUGUGGUUCAAGGCCGGAUCCCAGAUCUUCAGCGAGGGUGGACUUGACUACUUGGGCAACCCAAGCUUGGUCCAUGCACAAAGCAUCUUGGCCAUUUGGGCUUGCCAAGUUGUGUUAAUGGGAGCUGUUGAGGGAUACCGUAUUGCAGGUGGACCUCUUGGUGAGGUCGUCGACCCACUCUACCCUGGCGGCAGUUUUGACCCAUUAGGUCUUGCUGAUGAUCCAGAGGCAUUUGCUGAGCUCAAAGUAAAGGAGAUUAAGAACGGCAGACUUGCUAUGUUCUCUAUGUUUGGAUUCUUCGUUCAGGCCAUUGUUACCGGAAAGGGUCCAUUGGAGAACCUUGCUGACCACCUUGCAGACCCCGUUAACAACAAUGCAUGGGCCUUUGCCACAAACUUUGUUCCCGGAAAAUGAAUAUCAUAAAACGUUCUCUAGAUAUUAUUGUUUGAUGGCUUUGUAAAGUUUUAGUUGUGAGUUUACUUGACAAUAGAAUGGAUUUUUCUUAGUCCUGAAUUUCAUUUUCCAAUGAUGAAUGAAAUACUGCAAAAUUCAUAUUGAAGGGGAAAAUUGAUGACAAAGCAAAAAUAACAAGACCAAAGUUACAUUUGAGAUGUGGUAAAAGCUUAAACCUGAAUAUACAGACCAGAGACUUAUGGAAUUCAAUUAAUUCUCAAGAAGAAAUACUCUAACUUAGAGCCAAUAAUAACAUUGAACAACAUGAUGUUAUUUACUUUCAUGAUUCUUUAUUUUUCUGUCAAGAAGUGAAAGAGGAAUUAAGGGAAAACCAAUGUACAAUAUGUUUUAUAAUCUGAACGUAGCAAGUAAUAUAUGAGUUUCCAGGUCAUUAUACUUAUGUGUAAAGUACUAAUGUUGAAUACCAUGACGCUAUUACAUGAUUCCUCAUUUUUCUGUCGAGAAGUGAAAGAGGAAAUAAGAAGACACUGUUUCAUUUCGAUGAAAAGUGAAAACCAAUGUGGUUAAUAUAUGAGUUUACAGGUCCUUACAUUAUGUGUCCUGUGAACAAAUUCAUAAAUUUCUUGAAAAAACCAUCCUUCCUAACAUCUGAUACCAUCUUAAGAUUAAAAGAUCUUUGACAGAUCCUUCCAAACAAGGUGCAUAGUAAUGACCAGAGCCAAAGGACAUACUUGUAUAGUUAGUUAGCAGAAGAGACAUGUAAUGCUAUACAUGACACUUAUUGGCAACAAAUUUAAGCUCUAUACACUAAUAAUAUAAAAAAUAUAUACAAUCAGUUUACUUAUAAAGUAAUUAUAUGGAAAUCCGUUGAUAAACAUUACUCCAAUUGGUAGUCUCGUAAAAAUAGGGAACUGACCUACUGUCACAUAUUAAAAUUUACCGAUAGUGUAAAAACAUCUUUACACCGUCAGUGCAUAUAACUUAAAUCAACAAUUAGUAAAUUAUAUUUCUCUCAAGUCUUAACACAGCCAAUAUAUUGUGAUGCUGAUGAAUUCAAAUAAAUUAAAUUUUUUGCUCAUGUUCGUCUGAACAAGCUCUUUCCAAGUUUCAGCAUUGCUCAUCUAGCAGUUAAGUACAGGUACUAAGCCACAUUAAAUCUCUAAAAAUGAAUUAACAUUGUCUUGAAUGAGCUUAAAACAAGAUAGCAUGUGUGGCUAACAUAAACAACUUUGUCAAUUGAGGUCUAAUAUAUUAAUAAAGUUUCAAUCGCAUUGUUUUCCAUACAUAAACAUGCAUUAUUAAUUUCCCACAAUUUAUGCAUCAAGUGGUAAUAAAUUUCAACUUCUCCUCAAAUUUCCUAAACCAUAGUUCUACAUCUUUUACCCUGCAGGUAGACAAAAUCUAUAGAAAUGGCAAGUGGAUAAUGAUAGGUAUAUCAUAAUGUAAGCUCAACAAAUCACAGGGCAGAGUUCAAUCCUUGUGACCACAUAUGAUAGGACAAUAUUGAAUGUGUCCCUUCUUGGAAAAUUGAUGGAUUGGAGAUUCAAGUGUGCAUUAAUUGCCACAUAUGGGAUCUUGAUACCCAAUGAGAUCAUAGAUAUAUAUAUCACUAGAUAAGAAGAUUCUUUCUCUCUAAUUACCUCCUAUAUAUUCUGAACCCCAACUAACUUCAGCUUCAUCACAACCAACUUUGAGAUUUCAAACACCCAUCACUUUUCUCUUGUUAUAAACCAUGGCAGCUUCCACAAUGGCUCUUUCUUCCCCUUCUUUUGCUGGACAGGCAGUGAAACUCUCACCCUCUGCCUCAGAAAUCACUGGAAAUGGAAGGAUCACUAUGAGAAAGGCUGUCGCCAAGUCUGCUCCAUCUAGCAGCCCAUGGUAUGGACCAGACCGUGUUAAGUACUUAGGCCCAUUCUCUGGUGAGUCCCCAAGCUACUUGACCGGUGAAUUCCCUGGUGACUACGGCUGGGAUACUGCUGGACUUUCAGCAGACCCUGAAACCUUUGCCAAGAACCGUGAACUCGAGGUGAUCCAUUGCAGAUGGGCUAUGCUUGGUGCUCUUGGAUGUGUCUUCCCUGAGCUCUUGGCCCGUAACGGUGUCAAGUUUGGUGAGGCUGUGUGGUUCAAAGCUGGAUCCCAGAUCUUCAGCGAGGGUGGACUUGACUACUUGGGCAACCCAAGCUUGGUCCAUGCACAAAGCAUCUUGGCCAUUUGGGCUUGCCAAGUUGUGUUGAUGGGAGCCGUUGAGGGAUACCGUAUUGCUGGUGGACCGCUUGGUGAGGUUGUCGACCCACUCUACCCUGGUGGCAGCUUUGACCCAUUAGGUCUUGCUGAUGACCCAGAGGCAUUUGCUGAGCUCAAGGUAAAGGAGAUUAAGAACGGUAGACUUGCUAUGUUCUCUAUGUUUGGAUUCUUUGUUCAAGCUAUUGUCACCGGAAAGGGUCCAUUGGAGAACCUUGCUGACCACCUUGCAGAUCCAGUUAACAACAAUGCCUGGGCCUUCGCCACAAACUUUGUUCCCGGAAAAUGAAUAUCUUAAAAUGUUCUCAAAGAAUAUGAUUGUUUGAUAGCCUUGUAAAGUUGUAAUCGUGAGUUUACUAGACAAUAGAAUGGAUUUUUCUUAUAUUCCAAUUAUGGUGUUGUCUAUAAGUUUGCUUUCCAAUGGCAUGAAUGAAUCAUAUCAAAGGGAAAAAAAAAGAUGACAGAGCAAAAACAAAAACCCAAGAUACAAUUGGGAUGUGGUAAAAGCAUAAAACUUGAACAUACAGACCAGAGGAACUAAUGGAAUUCAAUUAAUUAUCAACAAGAAAUACUCUAAUUUAGUGCCAAGAAUAACAUUGAACAACAUUGUGUUAUUUAUUUACAUGAUUCCUUAUUUUUCUGUCAAGAAGUGAAAGAGGAAUUAAGAGGACAUAAUAUUAUUUCACUACUAGACCAUUUACAUUUCAAUGAUAAUGGAAAACCAAUGUAUAGUAUGUUUUGUAAUCUGAAGAGAAAAAGCUCAAAAUAGUCCCUUAUCUUUGAGUUAAUGCAUGAGUUUCCAGGUCAUUAUACCUAUGUUCCCUUAGUUUAUUUAGCAUGAACAAAUUCAUAAAGUUCUUGUGUAUUUCUCCUUCGUUACAUGCAUAUGGUACUAUCUUUAGAGAAGAACAUGGCACAUAGCAAUGACCAGAGCCAAAAGGACAUAGUAAGCAGAAUAUACUAGUAAGCUAUACAUGCAUGACAUUUAUUAGAGAGGUAAUUAAGUUCUCGCUGUAAAAAAUACUUAAACCAUAUCACUUAUUAACACAGGCAGAGGUAGACUACAGCGAUGAAUGGAAUGUCCCACAUCAGUGAAUGAAUGAAAUCCUGGCCUCCUUAUAAGGCUUGGGCAAUAUUAUUUCCUUUGAGCUAGCUUUUGGGGUUGAGUUAGGCUCAAAAUCCGUUUUAUACAUCCAACAUUAAAUAUGUACGACUUACACAACUAAACUUAGAAUCCAUUUACUAAAAACCAAGUAGUUUUGGUCCACCUCAUGUAUAUGUAAAGAAAUAAAGUUCAAAUCUUGAUCCAUCUUUACUUAUUAAGUAAUUACAGGUUAAUCUUUUGAUAAACAUUAAAUGAUAAUAUGAUUAAAAUGAAUUCCAGCUUUUCCUCAAUUUAUUUAGUGAAAGGUUACAUUAUAGUUCUAGAUUGAAUGAGCUAUAGUGCUGAAAGAUAAAAUCUGGAGAAAUUACCAAUGGAUAACUGACAAGAGAUAUCAGUAUUGUAAGCUCAACAAAUCACAGGGUAGAGUUCAAGCCACACAUAGGAGGACAAUAUUGGUUGGGUCCCUUUAGUAAACAUCUUGGAAAAUUGAUGGAUUAGAGAUUGUCAAGUUGCAUUAAUUGCUACACAUGGAAUCUUGAUACCCAAUGAGAUCAUAGAUAUGAAUAUCACUAGAUAAUUAGGACUCUUUCCCUCUUAAUUACUCCCUAUAUAUGGUGAAUUAAUUCCCUUUGUAACUUCAUCUCACCACAGCCAAAUUCAACAGUAUUUCAUACCAUCAAAUUUAUAUAUCGAAACUAUAAUAAGGGGAGGACUAAACGCAAAAGAGUUUCUUCUUAUGAGUUAACUAUACAUUAUAAACAUUUAUCAUUUUACUUUUCAUAGUUUUGUUGCAACUCAAAUACAAUUUUAAAAGAAAUUAUGUGAUUUUUAAUAAUUCAUAUUCAUCGUUAUGGAGUACACAUGCAACGCACGUGAGUGCCAAGAAUAACAUAGAACAACAUGAUGUUAUUUACAUUAUUCCUUAUUUUUCUAUCUGAGAAGUGAGAUGAUUUAAGUGUACCUAACAUUAUUUCACUACUACAUCAUUGACAUUUCAUUGAUGAGGGAAAACCAAUGUGUAUGUUAUGUAAUCUGAACGUAGCAAGUAAAAGCAUCUAUGCGACUGCUUAUAUAACAGAGGCAGAUAUAUAUCCUCCAAAUAUUGCAUAUAGUAACGAGUAACGACCAGAGCCAAAAUUAAGGAAAUAGUAAGCAGAAGAUACAAGUAACUGAGUAAGCUAUACAUGAAAGGAAAUUAAGUUCUAAGCAUUGACAUUGUAAAAAUGCUAAUGCUCAUGUCACUUAUUAACAGGGGCAAGGGUAGGCUUCAUCAUACAUGUUUGUUUGACAGAACCAAUUAAGUAGCUUUGGUUCAAACCAUAUAUAUAUGUGUUAAGAAACAAACAAAUUAAAUAAAAGAAUCCAUUUACUAGUAAUUAAAUUAAACAUAUAUAGAAUGUUCUAUGACUAUAUAUACCUCUUCAUGACCAUAAGAUUUUCAAAAAUCCAUGCAUGGACCUUGGUUAAAAAAAAUGAUAUUCUGCAUUGCCUUAAUGUCGCCAAAUGCUUUAGUGACUCUUGGAUGCAAUGACAUUAAAUCAAAGCUGCUAAAUGUUUUUGCGGAAAAUCUAUUGUCAUUGAAUGUCUCUUUUGUUGUAGAGAUAUGUGUUAAAGAAAUUCAUUACAUAUAUACACAAAUUAAAUUUAGAAUCCGUUUACUAGUACUUAAGAUCAUCGUCCUAGAUUUCAGAACCCAUAAAGUUCAAAUCUUGAUCCACCUUUGCUUAUUAAGUAACUAGUUAUAGGGAACGUGCGUUGCACGUUUGUUUCCUACUAUUUUAUAAAAUCAUAAUUUUAUGUUGAUAGUUAUUUAUCGCAUAAUUUAUUUUUAUAGAUAUGCCAAAACUUGUAUUGAUUAAUAUGUAUAUGUAUAAAGUUUACAUUUUCAUCCAAAAGAAAAAAUAAAGAUUCGAAAUAUAGUCGUCUAGACUAAGAUAUAUUCUAGUAAAUAUAUAUAUAUGUUUUCUCUAUACAGACACAACCAUUUAGAUUAAUAUUAUAGUUUUAUUUUUACUUAUUUGUUUGACAGCUAAGAAAUACUCAAAUAUGUAAAAUCAAUUAAGAUUAUAUAACACCUAAUCUAAUAAGAUGAAUAUUAGCUUUAAAUUUAAGAAUAAAAUAUACAACAUUAUGGAGUAUUAUCUUCUAUAAAUAUUAUAUGAUAAUAAUACAUCAUCAUUUUUAUUUUUUUAUUUUUAUCUUACUGUCUACUUUCAUUUUCAUUUUCCUCUCUUACUAUGUACAUAUAUAAAUAUUUCCCACUUUGUGCCUACAUUCAUUCAGAUUCUUCAAUUUCCACGUUUAUGAAAAAUCCAAUGUUAUGGAAAAUUAACCCAAAAUCAUUUUUUAAACUAAAACUUCUAGUAUUUUAAUUUUAAUAUAAAUUUAAAAUGCUCCAAUACAAAAAGGGAAAUGACAUAAGAAGAAAAUUAUACUGACACAAGAGAUCACGUAGCUUCAGAUCAAAAUUAUUGUAGGACUCACGAUCCUUAUUUUCUUUCUUCUUCUUAUUUCACCUCAUGAUAAGCUUUAACUGAAAUUACAAAAUGAUCUUGUAUUGUUAAUGCCUUGGUAUGUCACAUCUUUACAUUAUACUUAUUUCUAUAAAAUUCAGACUAUGAAGAAUUUGGACUUGGGAUAGAAAAUGUGAGAUGGUGAAUGCAUAUGAUGUGUCUGUUUGUACAUAGUAUUUUGGGAUAAGCGUCUGAAAAAUACCCCAACUUUGGUCGGAUUUGCUGUUGCGAUACUAAACUUUUCACGAGGACCUAUUACCUCCCUAGACUAUUUAAUACCGUAUUUUAAACAUAUAUAUUUGUCCACGUGGACAUAAAAAAUAAUGCAAAAUUAUAAAUAGUAAUGUGUCCACGUGGGCACAUAUAUACCUUUAAAAUACACUAUUAAAUUGUUCAGGGGGUAAAAAAUACGAUAUUAAAUAGUCGAGAGAAAUAAUAAGUCCUCGUGAAAGUUUAGUAUCGCAACAGCAAAUUCGACCAAAGUUGAGGUAUUUUUCAGACCCUUAUCCCUAGUAUUUUCAAAAUUUAAGAAAAGAGUCAUUUCUCUUUUUUAUGAAGCUAUAACUAAGAAUUUUUGAAGAUUUCGAUAUUGGCAUGUGUAAUUGAAGAACAAAAAAGUGUCUAAUGAUGUAACGGAAGAAAAAAAAAGAGAUUGUUAAUAAUUUCGCGACUUAACUUUUCUUUUCAAUACCUUAAAUGUAUUAAAAAGAAAUUAAAUAGAAGAAAAUGCCACUUAACUUUUAUAGGGCCCUUUUGUAAUCGAACUUUCAAUUAUAAGGUUAUCGUAUUACACGUGCAAUACAAUAAUGUUUGACAGACGUCCCCUCAGAAUUUGGCUCGUCGUUUAUUAUCUGGCAUAACCAUUUAAGAUGAGAAACAACAACAUCUUUCUUCUUACCCCAUUCACGAAUCCUUAUAUGAAAUUCAGCCGCAACAAUUAAUAAAUAAACACCUUGAAUUGAUGUCAAAAUGAACGCUUAAUAUAUAUAUAUAUAUAUAGAAAGAGAGAGAAAGAGAGAGAGAGGUGGAGCUACAUACAAAUUUAGCAUCAUAUAUAAUUGCUUAUUUCUAAGGUAUAGAAUGAAUAAUGUCAAAUACUCGGUGCAGAUAAAGUUAUGCCUUUCAAUAUUAUGAAUUACCAAAUAUAAGGAAAGAAUAUUAAUCAUAAAAUACCAUACAUAAAAAAAUAAACUAUCACAAUUAUAUUGAUGUAGAAUAAACACAAACUUACUUUCUUGAAGCUUGUUAUAAGAUUAUAGGAACUCAUUCUCAUGUUCGAAUUCAAUUAUACAUCCUUGACUAAAUUUUUAUUGCUGCAACAAAAAAAUAUCCAAAAAAUUUAACAAUCAAAUAUUUUGUUUAAAUAACUAUCAAAGAAAAAUCAACUACAAAAAAAAUAAUAUAAUAUUUUCUAAUACAAUUGAGAAUCUAAUAAUUAGAAAAUUAAAAAACACAUGAACCAUAGAAAAUGUUGAUAGGUCUGGAAUAUAUAUAGUAAGAGGAUGCAUAUUUUUUUGACUUAUGAAAUUCUUCUUUAAUAGACAAAUAAAUAAAGAAAAGAUCAAUUGAAUAGAUAAGAUGAAUAUGAACAUUUCAAAUUUUAUUUUUCCAACCUUUGAGAUUCUCAUCAAACGUAAUUAAUUGGUUAAUAUGUGGUCACUUCCCAUUUAAUUGAUUAUUGUCAUUUAUUAGAUGGUAAAUUUAUUAUUUGGUACAAAAAUAUCAUAGAAUCAGUAUUUAAAUUAGGGGUAGUAACGUUGAUUAAUUUUAAUGUAGAUUUUUGUACUUAUUUUAUUUUAAACUUAUGUUUUCCUACUUUUAAAUAACUUACAAUUCAAAAAAUAAUUAAAAUAAUAUUAUUUAAUUAGUUAGAUGUUUAAUUUAAUCUAGGGGUAAAAUGGUAAUUCAACUUUCAUCUUUGGAGCUUCCCACUUAUAAUAAUAUUAGAUUCACUGCACGUGCGUUGCACGUGUAGGUUAAGUCCUGAGAUCCCUAUACACGAUAUAUUUUAUAUUUUAUGUAUAUUUUAGGCUUUCAACAUAUCAAUAUGCAUUUAAUAUUGCACUACGUCAUACUAAGUAAAUGGCCAAUCUAUUUGCCUUCUUGCUUGUUCGUCAUGUGGUGACGAACGUCGUAUUCUUAAAUUGUUAUUAGGCAAUUUGUUAGUAAGUAAUUGUGCACGAAUUAACUGGUUGCCCUCUUAGUUAUGUCGUGUCAUGAACUGUAUGCUCCCUUUCAAUAUUUGAAAUUCAAUGUACCCUGUAUUUGAAUAACUUUAUAUACGCAAAAGUAAUAUCUUCUGUCGUAGAUGUCUGUUGUUUUUCAUAUCGUCUCCUCUUCCACCAAAACUAAGAAUUCUUCCAAUAUAAUUUUCAUUAGCUACAUGUGUGGUGUAUGUUUUUUCCUGUUUGAUUUCUUACAAUUUUGGUAUUAAUCAAAUCUCACCUAAUACUUUCUUGUAGACAGUAUUUUCUUGUGUUUAUCCCGAUGUAUCAAUCUGGUUGUUAAGUCAUGACCUGCACUUUUUUUGUUGACAUAGAUAUUCCUCUAGAUAGUGCAACAUAUAGUUUGCCAUGUGAGAAAGCAUGUUGUGGUAGGUAUACUCCUACAUUUGAUAUCGUUUGACUUUUAGCUUUAUUUAUCAUCAUUGCAAAAACAUAGACAUAUUGGAAAUUGUUUCCGAAUAAAUUUGAAAGGGUAUUGUUGUUUUUUCUGCAUGUAUGACAUUCUCGUCAAAGCCUCUACAAAACAACCAUGCCCCAUUGCAUAAGCCAAUUGAAGGGUCCAGUUUUCUCAGCAGCAUGAUGGGCGCAUUUUCUUUCAAAACUAACCUAAUGUAUAAAAUUAAAAGAAUCAUCAAUUGUUAUGUAUAUGUAAUCCUGUAAUUGUUUUCUUCUCUUUUAUGCUAUGAAGUAUCACAAUAAGAUAACUGUAAAAGUUAGGAUGUAUUAAACAACGUACCUAUGCGGCGGAGUCCAUUGGUUGUUAAGGUGUUUAGGUAUAAAUACAGUUCAUAUCUUUACUGAGGUCGAUUCUAUGUAGUCUUGCAUGCUGCAGCCUAGUAAAUAUUUAGCCUCUUCAAAAUAGUAUUUGGUAGUUAAAUUUCAGUCGUCAUGUGGGAUGGAGCUUGAUGACUACCAUUGGGAGAUGAGAGUGACAAUGUUAAUUCUAUGCGUUAUUGUGUAUUAGUACCAUUGAUGAGGGCGGCAAAUGGUCGAAAUCGACAUAAUUAGGCAGGAAUUUAUUGCAUAAAAGAGGGUGUCAUUAAGAUGUAAAGUGCAUCUAAAGUAAGGUUAGAAGUAACAUAUAUAUGUAAAGUAUGUGUCUAAAAUUGGCAGGAGACUGUAUGUGAGCAGGUUAACCAAUAAUAGGUUGUAUAAGUAAUGCUUCACUGUGAAGAAACAAAGUUAAUUAGUGGUGUAAAGUAUGUGUUUACAAUUGCCAGGGGACUGUAAGCAAGCAGGUGAACUAAUAAAUAUAUAAUUGCAUUAAUAAAAAUACUUAUCUCAUAAAAUUAGCUAUCAAAUAAAUUAUACAAAUUAAACUAAUACAAACUUCAACUGGCAUUAUUACAAGUCAUAUGAACUUUUCUUCAUCUAAAAUACUGAAAUAUUAAGAAAUAAUAAAUAAGUAGAACAAAACGGCAAUGUUUAUAUAGUAAUAAAUUCAUUCUUUUGUCUUGAGCAUCAAAAACAAAUCGUGACAAUUCUCUAAAUUUUGAAAAAAGAUAUUUAGAAGCAUAUAUCUACUUCACAAGAGAAAUUGUUAACAAAAACAAAUGAAUUUAGACUACAUUAUGUUAACUUCAUUUAUUGGAACAUUACAUACUAAUGUAUAUAUUAAGCAAAAAAAUAAUUAUUAUAUCAUAAAAUUAUAUUAUUUUCCUCAAGUACUCGAGGUAAUGGAAUAUACCCUCUUAGGAUAGAACGACUUACUUCAUCAGAAUAGUGGUACCUCAUAUUAUGCUAAAUUUCGAACUCACUCAACGACAAUAAAUCAUACCAAAAAAAUUAAAAUGCAAGAAGAAGAAGAAGAGUAGAAGAUUAAAAAAAAUGUGGUUGAAAAAUGAGAGGAAGUCCAUCUAUUUAUAUUCAACAAAGGGUAGUAUGAACAAAAAAAAUUUGUGUCUUAUCUAAAAAAUCAUGACCUUUCCGAGAAGUCACAACACUUUGGAAAAUUAACAACUUUUUGAAAAAGUCACAACUCUUUGGAAAAGUUACAACUUAUUGAAAAAUUCACAAUUCUUUGGAAAAGUCACAACUUAUUGAAAAACUCACAACUCUUUGGAAAAGUCACAACUCAUCGAAAAAUCAUAACCCUUCGAAAAAAGUCACAACUUAUUGGAAAAGUCACAAGUAUUCGAAAAAGUCACAACCUAAGUUAGGGAUAUUAUAGUAAUUUAACAUUCAAGUUAGGAGUUCAUGUUUUUAAGGUAAUAUAGAUAUGAUUAGAGGUUAAACAUGAAGUGAUAAUAUGAUACAAACGAAUUUCAGCUUUUCCUCAAUUUAUUUAGUGAAAGGCUUAACCAUAGUUCUACAUUGAAUAAGCUAUAGUGCUGAUAGAUAAAAUUUGGAGAAAUUCCCAAUGGAUAAUGAUAAGAGAUAUCAGUAUUGUAAGCUCAACAAAUCAGAGGGUAGAGUUCAAUCCACACAUAGGAGGACAAUAUUAAUUGGAUGGGUCCCUUUAGUAAACAUCUUGGAAAUUGAUGGAUUGGAGAUUGGCAAGAUUGCAUUAAUUGCUACACAUGGUAUCUAGAUACCCAAUGAGAUCAUAGAUAUAGAUAUCAUUAGAUAAUUUGGACUUUUUCCCUCUUAACUACUCCCUAUAUAUGGUGAAUUAAUUCCCUAGUAACUUCAUCUCAUCACAACCAACUUCAACAAUAAUUCAAACCCUCAAACACUUUACUUUUCUCUUCAGAUAUAACCAUGGCAGCUGCAACAAUGGCUCUUUCUUCCCCUUCUUUUGCCGGACAGGCAGUGAAGCUUUCACCAUCUGCCUCAGAAAUUACUGGAAAUGGAAGAAUCACUAUGAGAAAGGCUGUCGCCAAGUCUGCCUCGUCUAGCAGCCCAUGGUAUGGACCAGACCGUGUUAAGUACUUAGGCCCAUUCUCUGGUGAGUCCCCAAGCUACUUGACCGGUGAAUUCCCUGGUGACUACGGGUGGGAUACUGCUGGACUUUCAGCAGACCCUGAAACCUUUGCCAAGAACCGUGAACUCGAGGUGAUCCACUGCAGAUGGGCUAUGCUUGGUGCUCUCGGAUGUGUCUUUCCUGAGCUCUUGGCCCGUAACGGUGUCAAUUUUGGUGAAGCUGUGUGGUUCAAGGCUGGAUCACAAAUCUUCAGCGAGGGUGGACUUGACUACUUGGGCAACCCAAGUUUGGUCCAUGCACAAAGUAUCUUGGCCAUCUGGGCUUGUCAAGUUGUGUUGAUGGGAGCCGUUGAAGGUUACCGCAUUGCUGGUGGGCCUCUUGGUGAGGUUGUCGACCCACUCUACCCCGGUGGCAGUUUUGACCCAUUAGGUCUUGCUGAUGAUCCAGAGGCAUUUGUUGAGCUCAAAGUUAAGGAGAUUAAGAACGGCAGACUUGCUAUGUUCUCUAUGUUUGGAUUCUUUGUUCAGGCCAUUGUUACCGGAAAAGGUCCAUUGGAGAACCUCGCUGACCACCUUGCAGAUCCAGUCAACAACAAUGCCUGGGCCUACGCCACAAACUUUGUUCCCGGAAAAUGAAUAUCAGCAAACAUUCCAUAAAUUUCAUUGUUUGAUAUAUAGCCUUUUAAAGUUGUAAUUAUGAGUUUUCUUGACAACAGAAUGGAUUUUCUAAUAUCCCAAUUAUUGUGUAGUCCUGAAUUUAAUUUUCCAAUGCUAUAAAUGAAAUACUGCCAGUUUCAUAUCAAAGGGGAAAAAAAGUAGGCAGUCCAAAAACAAAACACAAGAUACAUUAGGGAUGUGGUAAAAGCUUAAAAGUUGAAUACUGACUAGAGGAACUUAUAAUACUCUAACUUAGUGCCAACAAUAACUUACACGAUUACUUAUUUUUCUCUCUGGGAAUUGAGAUGAAUUAAGAGGACAUAAUAUUAUUUCACUACUACACCAUUGACAUUUCAAUGAUGACGGAAAACCAAUGUGUAUGUUCUGUAAUCUAAAUGUAACAAGUAAAAGCAUCUGCGUGGCUGCUUAUAUUAUAGAGGCAGGUAUCCUCCAAACAUGGCAUAUAGUAACGACCAGAGCCAAAUAUAAGGACAUAGUAAGCAGAACUAAGUUAUAUAUAACACUUCUUUGAAAGGAAAUUAAGUUCUAUGCAUUGACAUUGUAAAAAUACUAAUACUCAUAUCACUUAUUAGCAGGGGUAGCUAGCCUUCAUCAUACCGGUUUUCUAGAAGCAAUUAAGUAGCUUUGGUCCAAACCAUAUAUAUGUCUAUUUACUGGUACUUAAUCCCAUGAACCAAUGUUUAUGUUGUUGUUUGUUGUUACUAGUACUUAAGGUCGUCAUCCUAGAUUCUAGAGCGCAUAAUGUUCAAAUCUGUAGGUCCAAGUCUCAGCAUUGCUUGCCAUGUAGUAGUUCAAAUUCACGUACUAAACCGUCGUUGAACCUCUAAAAAUUAAAUUAACAUUGCAACAUAUAUAGAACCUUCAAUGACUAUAUAUACCUCUUCAUGACCAUAAGAUUGUAAAAAAGUCCAUGCAUCGACCUUAGUUAAGAAAACAUUUUUUGAAAAGAAGUAUGACAUUCUACAUUGCCUGAAUUUGUAAAAUCCAAAACCAGUAUUUCACUUUUAUUGGAACUCAAAUAACUACGAUAUUGACUCUUGUGCUUAUGCUUCAUACUAGUUUUGAGCACGUGCGUUGCACGUGUAUUCGAUGCUAAUAGUUUAAACUUCUUAAAACAUUAGAAAUAACACCAAAACUGAAAGUGAAGGAUACAUGCUCAAUUGAUGAAUAGUUAAAUCGAUAUUCACUAUCAUCACAAAGUACAUCACACCAAAAGUUAAUAUCAAAUGAAGUUGAAAUGAUCCCCUUAGUUUUAAGAAAGAAAGAAAGUUCCUUCAGCAUUGUAUUCUAUUACUUUGAUAACUACUACUAUAGUUAGCAGUUGUAUACAGUCAACAAAUUGUAUAACGUUUUCUUGUAUAGUGCUUUUACUCUACCAAAUAUUCGGCCUAAAUGAUAUUUCAACGACAAAUAGUGUGGAUAUGAGCAACACCACUAAUGGUUACAAAUACUUCAGGCCUAUCAAGUAGCUAUUGUCAGAUGAAAGUAGUGUUUGUUGAAGUGUAUCAACUUAAGAGCUAAAAUAACUACAAAGGUUUGUUUCUAACUAGAUGUACCCAAACCCAAACAACUAUAUCAAGUUAGUUAACAAGAAAUUAGCACAUAUCCAAAACACACAAGCAAGUUAAAACAAAUAAAUGCUAAAUAGUAAUAAGUAAAAGCGACCCUCCAAAUGAAUUUUGCUUGCUAUUUGCAUAGUCUAGGAUAUCGACUUCAUGUGCGGGUAUGAUGAUGUUGAGUCCAUGAGACUCUAAAUUUGCGAGAGUCCUUAAUCGGGACUCCAUUUUUUGCUCCAAAAGUUCAUGCAAGUAGAAAGAGGGUAAAAAGAUUAGUAAGACUAUUCAACUUUAAACAAUAUACUAAAUAAGAAUAGAUAGAGCUAAGUAAGGUUACACUUCAAAUACAUUAUUUUUAACACGUAAAUAAGCAUGAGAGCCAAACAAUAUGAUCACUUUUGUAAUUAGUGACUUUCGAACACAACAUCAAAGCAACUAUAUAUUUUAAACAUCAUUUAAGCACUAUAUAAAAUCAAACAAGAUUUAUUUUUUUACAGAUGCCACUGCUUACAAUUUUUGAAGAAAACACGUAACAUAAUCUAAGAGGAAUUCAAAAAAUCAUAUUUAUGAAUAUAGAAUAUAGAGGGUUGCAAAUAUUAAGGAAUAAUAAUGACUUACAGUUUAUUUUUUUUAAACUAAAAUAAAGUAAAAUUAUAUCCCUUAAGCAAUGUUUCUGCAUAUAAUCCAAUGAGCUGAAUUUUCUUAACACACCAAAAGAUAAUUAAUUUAAAAAAAAAAGAUUUCGUGCAGCUGACUCAUCCCAAUCACUUUUAAAGGUUAAGCUAACUAGACGUGAAAGGAGAGCAUCAGUUUUCUAAUAACUAACUAAGAGAAAUUGAUUGAUAUACGACAUUCUUAAAAUAGAAGAGCACAUUAUAAAUUAUGUAGAUAGAAACAGAGAAAACAUGGGAGGCGAGUAUAACCUGUUGCGGGGCAGUGAACGAGGUGCUUCAAUCGAAGGUAAUCUCAAACCACGACUAACUCGAGCAAACUUACAACCAGAGAUUUGGCUGAGAUCGCAACAGAAUACAAAAGGUAAUUUUGAGAGCAAAAGACAAUAGUUCAAGACGCUAUCGGGGCAGAAGAGCUUCUUUUCAUAAGAAUGAAUAUCAAGGCUAUUAUCAAGAUCCAAAAAGUCCCCCUAAAACGAGUGGAAUAUGUUGGUAUUUAUAGCCAUGAACUAGGGUUCUUGGCUCAAGUUUGGGCGGGAUUUGAAGAAGUAAAAGUGCCGUUUUGAAUUCAAAAUUGUGCAUGUGAUUCUUCAUCAGAGAUGUCAAAAGUAUUUUGGCUUUUUGUUGACUAAAUUAAAGAAGAAAGAGUGAAUCAGGAAGGGGAAGAGGGCGCUGGCUUUUUGCAGAAGAGAGAGGUGAAACACUUGCACGAAAAUGGAGACACUAAGCUCUGCAUAAUGUUAAAGAUCUCUGAAAUUUUCUCAAAGAGGAAGAACGAUGCUGCUCUUUUGGACCAGGCGCAGCUGCAUGUACGAAUUAGAAUUAGGGCUCACGUUUGGGCUGAAUAUUUGAGUGGAUUUUGGGCUGUGCUUCUUUUAGUUUUAAAUCGGUAGUAAUUACAAUGGCAGCAUUGUCUUUUCAUAUGAUGAUAAUAUCGGGGAAAUGAUCAAAAUGGUCCUUAAUGUAUGGACUUUGAUUCCAUUUGGUCCUUAAUAUAUGAACUUCAUGGAAAUGGUCCUUUAUGUAUCAUAAAUUGUGAUCAAUUUGGUCCUUAACCCUAAAAUUAAUAUAUUUUAUUUUUUUUGCCAUCAAAAUACACGGAAUAUGUAAAAGAUGCGCUCGUUCAAGACUUUCCUUCCCCUGUUUCCAAAAAUUCCAAAAGGGCACAUACAAUUUUUUUUUUCUCUUUUCUUUAAAAUCGCUGCUGUGAUUUUAUUUUUUUUAACAACGCUGUCAAGCAGCGUUUAAAAAUUAGAAAUAGCUGCUAUAGUAGCCAUUUUCUUAAAAAAGUUAAAAUUUUAUUUUAUUAAAAAUUCCCGAGGCGAGGACUGCUUAAAAAAUAAUGGGAAAUCGCUCCACGUGUAGCGAUUUUAGUUNNNNNNNNNNNNNNNNNNNNNNNNNNNNNNNNNNNNNNNNNNNNNNNNNNNNNNNNNNNNNNNNNNNNNNNNNNNNNNNNNNGCGAUUUCAGUAGAAAAAGUUUCCCAAUUGAGUUACUUUAUAAUUUUUUAUUGUAUACUUUUUGAUUGCUAGCAGCAAUUGGAAAAAAAUAAUAAAAAUUCUUACUGAAAUCGCUGCCUUGGCUGCGAUUAUUUUUUAAAAAAAAUUAACUAAAAUCGCUACACGUGGAGCGAUUUCCCAUUAUUUUUUAAAGUAGUCCUCGCCUUGGGAAUUUUUAAUAAAAAAAAAAUUUAAACUUUUUUAAGAAAAUGACUGCUAUAGCAGCUAUUUCUAUUUUUUAAACGCUGCUGGGGCAACGUUGUUAAAAAAAAAAAUCACAGCAGCGAUUUUAAAGAAAAAAGAAAAAAAAAUUGGACCUGCAGCGAUUUUUAUGUUUUUUAAAGGAGUAACGGCGUCAAUUUUGUCAGAACAAAAUCGCUUCGUCAGGAGCGAUUUUGCCCUUUUGGUUAAAAAAAAUUGAUAUGCCCUUUUGAAAUUUUUGGAAACAGGGGAAGAAAAGUCUUGAACGAGCACCUCUUUUACAUGUUCCGUGUAUUUUGACGGCAAAAAAUAAUAAUAUUAAUUUUAGGGUUAAGGACCAAAUUGAUCACAAUUUAUGAUACAUAAAGGACCAUUUCCAUCAAGUUCAUAUAUUAAGGACCAAAUGGAAUCAAACCCAUACAUUAAGGACCAUUUUGAUCAUUUUCUCUGAUAAUAUCAUUAGUAUUAAUUAGUGUACUACGGUCAGUUUAUUGUUUAAUAAUUUAAUAUUUAAUUAAUUAUACAUUUUAUGAAGAGAUUUUUGGAUUAUUAUUAUUAUUAUUAUUAAUUUAUUAUUAUAUUCAUAUAGACUAUAGAUGAUAAAUAUGUAUUAAAAUAAAUAUUUUAUAAUAUUUUAAUUUAUAAUAGGGGUAAAAUCGUAAUUCAACUUUUUAACUUUUUUUGUUCCCACUUAUAGUAAUACUAGUUCUCGAACACGUACGUUGCACGUGUAUUUCACGCUAAGUAAUUUUUUUUUAAAAAUAUUAGAUUAAAUGUGCAAUGAGUUAUAUGAAUUUUGAAAGGGAAGAUUACCUUUUUCUCUGAUUUAAACUUCUAAGUCAUUUCAUCUUUGAAUUUUAACAUAAAUAAUUAGUAAAAAUUGUAUAUAUAUAAUAUCAAAUGUAACAUGACAAGCUAUUUAAAAAUCAAUGUGUUUCAUGCAUUACAACACCGCAUUAGACAAAUAACUUCAAAUUUUGGAUUAAACCUCUAAAGUAUAUAAUCUCAUACAUAACACUUUUUUUCUAUAGUAAUCCAUGCAAUUACAUAAUAAAGUGUAACACAAAUUAAAGAUUAACAACAUAAAGACACAAUAAUUUUAACUAAUUAAUCAACAUCACCUGGGAGGUAAACUACCACGAAAUGGUUCUUUGACAAGAACUGCUUCACUUAUUGCUGCCUCAAAUCUGCAAUCGGCUAGAAGAAUCUCUAGCUUUCAAUUAUAUGAUAUAAUUUGAAUAACAAUACAGUUACCUAAAUUACUGUGCAAAUCAAUGGGAACUGCAUCCUAUACUUUUUCUAAAAAUGUUAUGUGUAUUAUAUAAAACUUAAUAGAGUACAUGAAAAGUUUUCUAAUGGAUGAAAAUUAAAAGAAUUAACAAAUUUAAAAUUAAUGGGAUAAGUGCAUAUAAUUAUAUAGUAAAAGAUAAACUACACUAAGGGCUAGACAGAUUCAUUAACUUCACAUUAAUGUUUCACAAUUUAUUGAUUUAUUAUUAAAAGGUAAAUGUAUUAUUUGAUUGAUAGUAUAAAAAUAUUCUGAAAAAGAAGUGUGUAGAUAGGGGUACAAAAUAUCCCAUAAGAAGGUGACUUAAAUGUAUAUAUUCAUGAAAUAGUGGCAAAACGAACCAACAAAAUAAUUUGUUAAUAAUUUAAAUUUAAUUAUUCUAUAUUAUUUUGUCCUUUUAUUAGAUCUUUUCUGUAUGCGCAUUCCUUGAACUUUUUUAUUCAUAUAUUUAUUUUUCCUAGUUAAUAAUUAGUCUACAUUUAAUUACUCAAUGCAACUCUUCCAAUUCUUCUAUUUAUUUAGCAACGAAGAGGCUUAUUGCGUAAAUUCAAAAGGGUCAUUUUGAUUUGAUUCAAUGCAUGUUAAAGUAGAAUACCGAGACAUUAAAUUGGUAUACAAAAUUGAAAAAUAAGUUAAGGAAGUUGAAACGAAACCAAAAUAUUGAAUAGAGGAUAAUUUUAGGAAGAUGAAAAAGCUAGCAAUUCCAAGACAUUGAAUAUAGGCUGCUGUAAUUGUGUGAUAAUUAAAAUAUUUACUCCUAUUUAAUUUAGAGUAGAUAUUUUAUUUAUUACAUUAGGGUGCAGUAAUUGUGUAACAAUUUUAAAUAUUGCUACUAAUUAGAUUAGAUAUUUUUUAUUUAGUAAAAGGGUAAAAGAGUAAUUCAACUUUGAAAAUUGAGCCUCCCACUUAUAAUAAUAUAUGAUGAUAUGAUGAUAUGAUUAUAAGGGAAAAGCAUAAACCAAGAUAAAUUGUGUGGCUAACUUUAGUGACUUUAUUAAAAUCCAAUAGUAAAUUAGUUUCAAUAGCUUGGCUUUACAUGCAAUAUUAAUUUCCCACACAAUUGAAUGAGCUAUAGUGGUGGUAAUACCAGCUUUAGAUAGAAUCUGGUGAAAUUCCCAAUGGAUAAUGAUAAGAGAUAUCACAUUGUACGCUCAACAAAUCGAAAUAAUAGAGUUCAAGACCACAUAUGAGAGAAGAACAUUGGUUGGGUCCCUUUAGCAAACAUCUUAGAAAAUGAUUGCCAAGUGUGUAUUAAUUGCUACACAUGGGAUCUUGAUACCCAAUGAAAUCAUAAAUAUAGAUAUCACUAGAUAAGGACUCUUUCCCUAUAUAUGGUGAAUUAAUUCCCUUGUAAAUUCAUCUCAUAACAGCCAACUUCAACAAUAUUUCAAUUUUCAUACCAUCAAACAAUUACUUUGUUCUCUUGAUAUAAGCACCAUGGCAGCUUCUACAAUGGCUCUCUCUUCCCCUUCUUUUGCUGGGCAGGCAGUGAAACUCUCACCAUCUGCCUCAGAAAUCUCUGGAAAUGGAAGGAUCUCUAUGAGAAAGGCCGUCGCCAAGUCUACCUCAUCUAGCAGCCCAUGGUAUGGCCCUGACCGUGUUAAGUACUUGGGACCAUUCUCUGGUGAGUCCCCAAGUUACUUGACCGGUGAAUUCCCUGGUGACUACGGAUGGGAUACCGCUGGACUUUCAGCAGACCCUGAAACUUUUGCCAAGAACCGUGAACUUGAGGUGAUCCACUGUAGAUGGGCUAUGCUUGGUGCUCUUGGAUGUGUCUUCCCUGAGCUCUUGGCCCGUAACGGUGUCAAGUUUGGUGAGGCUGUGUGGUUCAAGGCUGGAUCUCAGAUCUUCAGUGAAGGUGGACUUGACUACUUGGGUAACCCAAGCUUGGUCCAUGCACAGAGCAUCUUGGCCAUCUGGGCUUGCCAAGUUGUGUUAAUGGGAGCUGUUGAGGGAUACCGUAUUGCAGGUGGACCUCUUGGUGAGGUCGUCGACCCACUCUACCCUGGUGGCAGUUUUGACCCAUUAGGUCUUGCUGAUGAUCCAGAAGCAUUUGCUGAGCUCAAAGUAAAGGAGAUUAAGAAUGGUAGACUUGCUAUGUUCUCUAUGUUUGGAUUUUUUGUUCAAGCCAUUGUUACUGGAAAGGGACCAUUAGAGAACCUUGCUGAUCACCUUGCAGACCCAGUCAACAACAACGCAUGGUCCUACGCCACAAACUUUGUCCCCGGAAAAUAAAAAUAUUAAAACAUUCUCUAGUUUCUGGUCGUUUGAUGACCGUGUAAAGAUGUAGUGUGCUACCUGACAAUAUAAUGAAAUUUUGUU
RNAcentral lists this long non-coding RNA (33882 nucleotides) under Solanum tuberosum (potato). RNAcentral describes it as "long non-coding RNA (STUB_LNC002958)". The record is from RNAcentral. Lineage: Eukaryota; Viridiplantae; Streptophyta; Magnoliopsida; Solanales; Solanaceae.